Molecule: long non-coding RNA, 2864 nt
Organism: Eptatretus burgeri (inshore hagfish)
Lineage: Eukaryota; Metazoa; Chordata; Myxini; Myxiniformes; Myxinidae
Source: Ensembl
CCAGCUUCGACAUCAGAUAAUGAACUGGCCAGACAAUAACCUUGCAAGAGACCACAAAAGGCAGAAGUUGCUGAAAUAGAAGGCCUUGGUUCUUUGCCUCCUCAUCAGUUGUUGUUUUCAUUCCUGCGGACAAUCCAAAAGCUGCUCGCAUUCUGCAGAAGAGCUCCCAUAUUAUUGAUAUCUCUCAUCUUGACAACACCAUUGUCUGAAUAUUCUGCUCCCUGACAUAUGCUACGAUGCAAGUUGAUUACACUUCUUCCCUCCUCACCCUCACCCUUCUGCUCAUAGCUGCUUCAUGCAAUGGUCUUCAAAGUGCCAACCCAACACCAACUUAUGAAGUGAUCAAUGUUAUAUCUGCUUGCAACUGCCCCCUGACCUGUCCAAAAGCCAUGACAGGUUUGAUGUUCGGUGGAAUCCUUGGGAUCUGCAUUAUCCUUCCUGCCCUCACGUGUUUAUAUGACACAUUGCUACAGUGGACAUUCGAGAGGAGGCGGCGCAUGAGAAGGCUUCGGCUGCUGAAACUCCGAAAGAUGGCUUUGUUGACAGACACAAAAGGAGUGAACACUAGAACGGCUCUGAAAGAAUCCUCUUCUUUGGAACAGAAAAGCUAGAGAAGACUAUAUGACAUCACUUUUCCUCUUCUAUUACUUGCUCAUCCGUUAUAUCAGCUCAGCUGUUUAAUUCGUGUAUUUCGGUAACAAUAUCACAUAUGUACUAAAUAUUGAAAACUUUUGAAUAAAAUUGUAAACAGAAUAUUUCAAAUCAAUUUAUGUUUCAAUGGUAGUCCCCAAAGUGUAUGAAAUAAAUGAAUUAUACCCUUCUGUUCUAUUCGUGAAUCAUUUAUCGAUCUUUCAGUUUUCAUAACUGUAACAAUGGAUUUACCAUUUUUUUAUACAUUAUUAUGAAAUCAAUUACAUUUAUAUUCUAACUGUUAGAUUAUAGGCAGGCUAUCUCAUGUUAAGUGUGCCAAGAUUAAAAUGUGCUCUCACAUUUCCACACCGUGGUUGUUCACCAUGUAAAAGGCACCAUUAUGAGCUCUUACAUGUGAUGGGCCCAUUGUUAAUUGCACUUGCAACCAUUGGUGGGUCCACGGCUUCCUGCAUUCUAGAAACAAGUGUCAUUCACAGAGGGAUCUUGUUUAGUACUGGAUCCCAUCGGAGGCUAGACCCAUGACAUAAGCCUCUAUUCAGUCGAAUCAUUUUGGUAGGGCAGCUAAAUAGGCCCCAUGCACACCCACUGAGUACUUAAGCAAACAUACUUUUUUUAGAAUCCUUAAGGUGUCUGGUUAACAUUUUUAGAUGUUAACAAGAAAAUUAGGUUGGUCUUGGGGUCUAUUUGGCUGCCAUCUUGGAUUUUGACAUGCCUAAUUACCGAAAAACAAAUUUUCAUAACUUUUGAACCAAACAUGCUAGAAAUACAAUUAAAACAUCUAUUCCAUACAGUUUUGACAUGACAAAUUUAUUUAUAAUAUCAUUUUUUAUAUUUGAUAAUGUUUUAUGGGUCAUACUUCUCAAAAAUGUCAGUGCUUCCUCUGCACUCACCAUCUUCUGCAGCAUCAGUGUGCGCACUUCAUCCACACCAGAGAAGCGAGGAUAGCCAUACAUCAGGCAGACAAACUCUUCCAGACAGUCAUACAGCUUGUCUUUCACCCUCCGAUAUACACCAAGCUGCUUGAGUGCUGCCUGGAACCUUGGGUACUUCUGGAGUUGCUUCAGUGGACCAAUCUUUCCUUUGCCUUUGAAGGCACUGGUGCAAUCUUCUCCAGUAAAACAAUAGAGACCCAUAAUUGCUGUACAGUGGACACGUCCAGGUGUGCGAGCAACAGAAGUGGCAUCCACAAUAUACAGCAAGGGUAGUGCAAAGUACUGGUAACAUCCUCUGUGGUAACCAAUGCCAUCCAGUUCAACACCUUCUAAUGACUUAGGUAUCUGACUGCAUAUAUUUUGCAUAUGAUAGGAAGACCCUGAAGGUUCAGCUAAACGUUUAUCACGGAUGUCAUGCAGGAAGGCCAGUUUCUCAAUGGGAUCUGCUUUGAUACUGCUAAAUGAUGUAAAAUUCCCAUAAUUAUUAAAACCAGUCACAUGCAAGAUACAGUUGGGGGAAGAGACUUUUUCAAGUCAACUCGACUUUCAGUGCUCAGGCGUUUUUUUUUUCCUUUAGGCAUAGUUGGGUUAGUUUCUACUUGACUAUGAUGUGAAUCCUCCACCAAAUAAGCAAUAUGUCUAUCUACAUUCUACCAAUUAGUUUCUCACCAUCAACAUUGCAUGCACCUGAAACCAGAAAAAAAUAUGAUGAAGCAAUUGAGGAAAAAUCGUUUACAGAGGUAAUAAUGCUGUUGGUCAGUUUACAUACAGCGAAUGACCACCGCUGCCUCAACAGACACAAGUUAGUAAGGCCCAUACAAUGUUAAAAUUAAAGUAACAAAGGUUUUGUUCAGUUUCCAUGUAGUAAAUGACCACUGAUUCUUCAACAGACUCGAGUCAAUAAGGCCCAUACAUUGAAACAAUGUAAAAAAAUCUUAACACCUGAAACAAACAGAAAGUAUUAUUUCGUGUUCUAGGAAGGGAAGGUAAGUAUAACACAGCAACAAUGGGAAAUAGCAUAAAUUCCUAUUAUUGUAUUUGAUUUAAAAUUCAAGUUCCAGGAUCUUAUCACUUAAUCAAGUUGCCUCAUUUUAGGGAACUUCUACUUCAUACAUAAGGUGAGUGAGACUAUUCUUACCCAGGCCCAACACGGACUAAGAGUUCUAGAAAGACUGACAAACAUGUCACAAGGUUACAAAAUUUUACAAGGAAUGACCAUUGCUGACAUAGUUAUCAGAUGCCAGUAAGCAAGGCCUAUACAAUAUGAAAUAAGAGUUACAA